AGCGAACGCUGGCGGCAGGCCUAACACAUGCAAGUCGAACGAACCUUUCGGGGUUAGUGGCGGACGGGUGAGUAACACGUGGGAACGUGCCUUUAGGUUCGGAAUAACUCAGGGAAACUUGUGCUAAUACCGAAUGUGCCCUUCGGGGGAAAGAUUUAUCGCCUUUAGAGCGGCCCGCGUCUGAUUAGCUAGUUGGUUGAGGUAGUGGCUCACCAAGGCGACGAUCAGUAGCUGGUCUGAGAGGAUGAUCAGCCACAUUGGGACUGAGACACGGCCCAAACUCCUACGGGAGGCAGCAGUGGGGAAUCUUGCGCAAUGGGCGAAAGCCUGACGCAGCCAUGCCGCGUGAAUGAUGAAGGUCUUAGGAUUGUAAAAUUCUUUCACCGGGGACGAUAAUGACGGUACCCGGAGAAGAAGCCCCGGCUAACUUCGUG
This 434-nucleotide ribosomal RNA is filed under the name uncultured bacterium. RNAcentral's name for it is "partial 16S ribosomal RNA". It matches the Rfam family "Bacterial small subunit ribosomal RNA", at positions 29 to 507 of the family's 1533-position model. The record is from RNAcentral.